RNAcentral lists this ribosomal RNA (262 nucleotides) under uncultured bacterium. RNAcentral's name for it is "partial 16S ribosomal RNA". It matches the Rfam family "Bacterial small subunit ribosomal RNA", at positions 793 to 1055 of the family's 1533-position model. The record is from RNAcentral.
GUCCAUGCCGUAAACGGUGGGCGCUAGGUGUAGGGGACUUCCACGUCUUCUGUGCCGCAGCUAACGCAUUAAGCGCCCCGCCUUGGGAGUACGGCCGCAAGGCUAAAACUCAAAGGAAUUGACGGGGGCCCGCACAAGCGGCGGAGCAUGUGGAUUAAUUCGAUGCAACGCGAAGAACCUUACCUGGGCUUGACAUACACCGGACCGGGCUAGAGAUAGUCCUUCCCUUGUGGCUGGUGUACAGGUGGUGCAUGGUUGUCGU